Molecule: long non-coding RNA, 335 nt
Organism: Nematolebias whitei (Rio pearlfish)
Lineage: Eukaryota; Metazoa; Chordata; Actinopteri; Cyprinodontiformes; Rivulidae
Exons: 3
Source: RefSeq, a predicted model, not a curated record
AGGAGGAGAUCCGAACUCUUCAUUCACGAAACUGAAACCUCGUUAGAACUUCGACAGUACUGUCGACACAUUGUCUUUUGUACAAACAACGACCAAGGCGAAAUUCUUUGGCCAUCCGUUCAGUAGGCAAAAGAAUUGGAUUUAUGUAUUUUGUGUCAGAAAGAUGAAAAUGGGAAACUUAACUCUGUAGCAUUUCAUUUCACUUUGUUGCUGAAAUCAAACCUGUGCUCAAGGUGUGAAAUAUGGAAGAACUGAACUGAAAAUGGGAUCAGUGAUGUCGUUCUUUGGCAGCUUGUGUGGAAAAGAGGAGAAGCAAGAGGAGGAGAGACACCUGC